Molecule: ribosomal RNA, 497 nt
Filed under: uncultured bacterium
Lineage: Bacteria
Description: partial 16S ribosomal RNA
Rfam family: Bacterial small subunit ribosomal RNA
Source: RNAcentral
GAUGAACGCUGGCGGCGUGCCUAAUACAUGCAAGUCGAGCGAACAGACGAGGAGCUUGCUCCUUCGACGUUAGCGGCGGACGGGUGAGUAACACGUAGGUAACCUACCUAUAAGACUGGGAUAACUUCGGGAAACCGGAGCUAAUACCGGAUAAUAUAUCGAACCGCAUGGUUCGAUAGUGAAAGAUGGCUUUGCUAUCACUAAUAGAUGGACCUGCGCCGUAUUAGCUAGUUGGUAAGGUAACGGCUUACCAAGGCAACGAUACGUAGCCGACCUGAGAGGGUGAUCGGCCACACUGGAACUGAGACACGGUCCAGACUCCUACGGGAGGCAGCAGUAGGGAAUCUUCCGCAAUGGGCGAAAGCCUGACGGAGCAACGCCGCGUGAGUGAUGAAGGUCUUCGGAUCGUAAAACUCUGUUAUUAGGGAAGAACAAACGUGUAAGUAACUGUGCACGUCUUGACGGUACCUAAUCAGAAAGCCACGGCUAACUACGUG